UGAGGGAGAAAAUUCGUUGAUAGUACCUCAAGAAUAAGAGGCUCCAAACUUUGUGCCAGCAGGAGCGGUAAUACAGAGGCCUCAAGCGUUAUCCGGAAUCACUGGGCGUAAAGGGUGUGUAGGUGGUUGUGUUAGUCGUUUGUUAAACCUCCCGGCCUAACCGGGAACAUGCACGCGAAACGGCACAACUAGAGGGUGUGAGGGGUCUGUGGAACUCAUGGAGUAGGGGUAAAAUCCGUUGAUAUCAU
RNAcentral lists this ribosomal RNA (248 nucleotides) under uncultured prokaryote. Its description in RNAcentral is "partial 16S ribosomal RNA". It matches the Rfam family "Bacterial small subunit ribosomal RNA", at positions 439 to 700 of the family's 1533-position model. The record is from RNAcentral.